CACGUAGGGCGCAAGCGUUGUCCGGAAUUAUUGGGCGUAAAGAGCUCGUAGGCGGACUGUCACGUCUGCUGUGAAAAGCUGGGGCUUAACCCUGGCCUUGCAGUGGAUACGGGCAGACUAGAGGUAGGUAGGGGAGAAUGGAAUUCCCGGUGUAGCGGUGAAAUGCGCAGAUAUCGGGAAGAACACCCGUGGCGAAGGCGGUUCUCUGGGACGGUACUGACGCUGAGACGCGAAAGCGUGGGGAGCGAACAGG
This 253-nucleotide ribosomal RNA is filed under the name uncultured bacterium. Its description in RNAcentral is "partial 16S ribosomal RNA". It matches the Rfam family "Bacterial small subunit ribosomal RNA", at positions 524 to 776 of the family's 1533-position model. The record is from RNAcentral.